Long non-coding RNA from Crotalus tigris (Tiger rattlesnake), 707 nucleotides. RefSeq lists it as uncharacterized. The transcript has 3 exons. NCBI's taxonomy places the organism in Eukaryota, Metazoa, Chordata, Lepidosauria, Squamata, Viperidae. The record is from RefSeq and is a predicted model, not a curated record.
UUUAAUUACAUCUUAAGGGAGUGGGGGGGGGACCCAAAGUGUAAACAUGACUCCUUUUUAUCUCCUGAUACAUCUGGACAAGUAGACAAUGUGCUAAAACAAACUAAAUCUGGCCUGACAGUCACUUCAAAGAGUUCAGCAAGAGUCUUGCCGCUACUUAAGGCGCAGGAAUGCCGUUGCUAAGCAUCUUUUUUCAACCUACCCGUCAGUAAAAGAAGAGCAAUUUCUUUCUUUCAGAGGCAGCCAAGAGAGUUAAAGGAUUUGGGGGGAUACGGGUGCUGUUAAUGAAGCAGACUUUCACAAACGGCUAAGAAUGCGUGCAGAUGUGUGUGUCCAGGCAAGGAUUUUAGUGCAAGGAUUUAUUUUGUCACUUGGCAAUAAGAGGUCAUUUGCACAGAGUCAAAUCAAUAAAGUUUUGGUCCUUUCUGUUUUCAGUUGCCCCUAACACAAGACAAACCUGAUUUUUCCUCUUCCCCUCUAGCUUUAAUAAAACGACGAGAACUGAUGAUGUUACCUAAUUGGGUAAUGAAACAUUCUGCAAGAAAACCACCAAGCUCAGAGAGCACCAAGGACCCCACAAUUCAACCCUCAGCUACAAAUAUUCUCUACUAUUGGAGCCUCUGUUAUCUUCCAUAAUGAUUGAAACUUUGAGAAAAAUUAAUGGUGCCUCCUAAGCUAGAAACCUUUUUUUAAAAAAAAAAAAAAAA